AGCAUGUGGGUGCGGAUCACUAGCCAAGAUUUUCUGGGUCCGUCUGUUAAAUCAUUUCCCUGCCGUUGCAGGAGGCCGGAGGUGCCGGUGCACCUCAGUCCCUCCCGUUUUCUGCCUGUGGCACAUAACGCCGCUUCCUGUGGGCUGUAAUUGGUCUCAUUUCAGUCGUUAGGUGCAGCAUGCGGGUGCUGGGAUGUGGUGUUCUUGGCCUGUGGCACGCAGGAGGUCAGACUACAUGACCUAGCCGGUCCCUUCUGGCCUUCGAUUCUACGAUUCCAUGCUUCUGAGCACAGACGAGAGAGAUGGCGGGGGGCUGAAAGAAGAGAUGAAAGCCCUCACGCCACGAACGCGACUGCCCUUUAGCUGGAACAGGAGAGGCCCGAGUUUUUGCUGCAGAAAUUCAGUCUGUUCAUGGGCUUGGAUGGACUUCUGCACAGGUGACCUGCUCGAACACUCUGCACUCUGAGAAGAUGAGAUGCCCUGAGGGCGAUGUCGUUCCAGAUGCAGACGCACCAGAGGAUAAUGGGCUGAUUAAGACCCAGCUGUGCAAACAGGGACUGGCUCUGACGGACGCUGUUUGUCACUUGAUGCGACCACAAAUCAACCAGUCGUCCAGAGAUGGGAAUAUCUGAGUCACCUGAGAUGUACUGCUACCUCUACCAUGCACUUUGUGAGACUUCUUGGGACUGAUGAGAGGUAGUGGUCGUCCCAUACUAAAAACCUGAAGUACUUUCUGUGGCUUGGGUGGAUAACCGCAUCAAAAUAGGAAUCCUGUUGGUCAAUGUACCAAUCUCUGGGAUUUAAGGAUGGGGAAACGGAGGCAGGGGACACCAUCCUGAAUUUUUGCUUAUUGGUAAGAUGUUCAACUUCCUUAAGUCUAGGAACCCCUCUCAUUUGGGGUGAAAAUAUCAGGAGUAGAACUGACUUCCCUAUGGUAUAAAGGGCCCCCUCCCCUCCAAGAGCUAGAAGAAACUGCAGCUCUUGACGCAGGACAAUUUUGUGAGGAGGACCCUGAAUAGGGAAAGGGGAGGAUGCUGGGGGUGGGGCAAGAACUGGAAUUGGAGGGUGGAUCCCAGUUCCAUAAGUCUCUAGAACCCACUGAUUAGUGGUUAUGAAGUUCCAGGCAGCAGAGAAGUGGUACGACAGGUUUCCAAAAGGAGGGGAUGGGUUGGGAAGAUCCAGAAUAACUGGUGCGCUGCAGCCAAAUUGGCUGCCUUGAGACUGAUGGGUCGAACAUAUUCAUGCCAAAGCAGAAGGCUUCCUUAGUGGAAAUCUGUGCCACUUUCUGGAGGAGUCAGGUGGAAUGGAGGGCUAACUAUGGUGCUGUCGAGGUUUGCCUUGCCUCCUCUUGGGGGCUAGCUACUCACGUACGUAGCCAGGGUCCCGGGCGGGGCUGUACAGCCCAUGCUGCUGCCCAGCUUGCUGUGGCUUUACUCCUGCUGUUCUUCCACUAAUUAGAUCAAUGCUCCAUCUGCUGCCCUCCCACCUCUGAUUGCGGUGGAGACAUACCCUUUGAGAAGAACUCUCAGAUACUACAUUUGUCCCUACCAUGCCCUUCACCUAAACAGAUGAGAAAGGCUCCACUUUUUAUUCACAGAAAAUUGUUAUACAUUUAAUGGCAGAGGUGUGGGAAAAGAAGGAAGGAUUGGAUAGUGAGGCCACGCCGCAGCGGCUGCCCCGUCCCAGGGGGCUGGGCCUGGGUCCCCACUCCAGGUGUUGCAAGCUGGCCCACGUGGUUGCAGUGCCACCUCGCAUUGGCAAAUCCACCCCUCCGUGGAUGGAGAUGGGGGUGGACGGCCAGAUUUGUUUGGCAUUGAGACCUAACACGCUGGGUCGCAAAGCAAUUCAGGUCUGACACAUCCACCCCUCCAUCUACAGCAGGGCGGGUGCAUGAAACCUGUAUGGUGCUGUGACCAUGUGGGCCAGGUCGCAAUGCCCGGAGGGAGAGGCGUCGCCACUGUGUGGGUCAUGGGUUCUAUUCAAGUUCACGAUUACCAUGAGCACCACACCAAACUCACAGCCUGACAGAGGAGGCAUCUCGUAUGCCUGCCAUUAACAGGCACGAGUGCCUGGCAACCUUUAGAGACAUGUUAGAUACGUGUGUAAAUGGCCAUUAGGGCCAUUUUGCGUUAGGUACGGUAGAGUUUGAAAAUAGAAAUACAAGUGUACAAGACUUGGGAGGAGAUGUGGUUAGAUGAUUAACAAAGAAAGCGAAUGGUUCCUGUAGUCUGUAAAUUGCAAGAUCAAAAGGAAAUAUUAACACUGAGAAGAAACUUCGGUGCAAUAAUGUCAUUGUAUCUCUCUUUAAAGUUUGCGGUAAAUUGUC
This is a long non-coding RNA of Chelonia mydas (Green sea turtle), 2326 nucleotides long. RefSeq lists it as uncharacterized. The transcript has 3 exons. The record is from RefSeq and is a predicted model, not a curated record. NCBI's taxonomy places the organism in Eukaryota, Metazoa, Chordata, Testudines, Cheloniidae.